This 749-nucleotide ribosomal RNA is filed under the name Halomonas sp. Its description in RNAcentral is "bacterial SSU rRNA". It matches the Rfam family "Bacterial small subunit ribosomal RNA", at positions 41 to 786 of the family's 1533-position model. The record is from RNAcentral. Lineage: Bacteria; Pseudomonadati; Pseudomonadota; Gammaproteobacteria; Oceanospirillales; Halomonadaceae.
UGCGGGCGCAGCUACCAUGCAGUCGAGCGGUAACAGAUCCAGCUUGCUGGAUGCUGACGAGCGGCGGACGGGUGAGUAAUGCAUAGGAAUCUGCCCGAUAGUGGGGGAUAACCUGGGGAAACCCAGGCUAAUACCGCAUACGUCCUACGGGAGAAAGGGGGCUUCGGCUCCCGCUAUCGGAUGAGCCUAUGUCGGAUUAGCUAGUUGGUGAGGUAAAGGCUCACCAAGGCAACGAUCCGUAGCUGGUCUGAGAGGAUGAUCAGCCACAUCGGGACUGAGACACGGCCCGAACUCCUACGGGAGGCAGCAGUGGGGAAUAUUGGACAAUGGGGGCAACCCUGAUCCAGCCAUGCCGCGUGUGUGAAGAAGGCCCUCGGGUUGUAAAGCACUUUCAGCGAGGAAGAACGCCUAGCGGUUAAUACCCGCUAGGAAAGACAUCACUCGCAGAAGAAGCACCGGCUAACUCCGUGCCAGCAGCCGCGGUAAUACGGAGGGUGCAAGCGUUAAUCGGAAUUACUGGGCGUAAAGCGCGCGUAGGUGGCUUGAUAAGCCGGUUGUGAAAGCCCCGGGCUCAACCUGGGAACGGCAUCCGGAACUGUCAAGCUAGAGUGCAGGAGAGGAAGGUAGAAUUCCCGGUGUAGCGGUGAAAUGCGUAGAGAUCGGGAGGAAUACCAGUGGCGAAGGCGGCCUUCUGGACUGACACUGACACUGAGGUGCGAAAGCGUGGGUAGCAAACAGGAUUAGAUACC